Molecule: long non-coding RNA, 603 nt
Filed under: Parus major (Great Tit)
Lineage: Eukaryota; Metazoa; Chordata; Aves; Passeriformes; Paridae
Description: lncRNA (ENSPMJG00000005419.1)
Source: RNAcentral
GCUGGAAUAAAAUAAUCUCAGUGUAAACUUGCAUUUCUGUUUUAAUUUUUGAUUUAUUUUUUUUUUUUUUACCAGUGGUAUUAGGAGUGCUCCAUAUUUAUGCCAUAUUUAUGAGAGAUUAAAAAAAAGGGAGAAAAGUAACUGUGGGACUCUGAAGCAAUAUAGAAAACUGAUUUGUCUCAAUAUAGUCACAGUACAAAUUUACAUCAGACUAAGCACCUUAUUCUGCUAAGGAGUUUUGGCAUGUAAGAACUCAUAUGUAGUAUCUUGGUCUGAAAAUACUUUUUAGUGCUCUGUCACUUAUCCUGAUUGAUUCCAAUGAGAGUUUCCUGAAUAAGGAUUUCAAGAUUUGGUGUGCUUACAUUGAAGUCUCCAGCACUGGAAAGGUUUAUACAUUUCCUUUAAAUGUGAGCACUAACCUUCAAGCAGCCUUUUUAAAGUAUUUCAUUUCACUGCUGUACUGACAUGAGUUCCAUUUCAGCGAUGGAAAAGAAUCAUACACUUCUGUGGAGCAUAAAAUGUUAUAACAAAAGAGCUUUGGAGCUACAUGGAGACAAACACAGUAAUUCUUCUGACAAAUCCUAGAUGAUGCUGUAUUCUUUG